This is an RNA transcript of Pezoporus flaviventris, 1713 nucleotides long. It is a transcript of the gene named pyruvate dehydrogenase E1 subunit alpha 1, with no coding region annotated. The transcript is spliced from 12 exons. NCBI's taxonomy places the organism in Eukaryota, Metazoa, Chordata, Aves, Psittaciformes, Psittacidae. The record is from RefSeq and is a predicted model, not a curated record.
AGGCGAGCGGGUCCCGGCAGUCCCUUCGGGAAGUGCUGGGCCGGGGGUGGGGCGGACGGCUGAAGGAGAUCCGGGGACGGGGACAGCGUCAAGGUGGUGUUGGCUGUCCCCGCUCCAUGCGUAAGAUGUUGUUGGCCGUGCUCUCCCGGGUGCUGCAAAGCCCGGCGGCUGCUGCCGCCGCCGGAAAACCGGCCUCUCGAGUGAUGGUAGCAUCGCGUAACUAUGCAGACUUUGCAAAUGAAGCUACAUUUGAAAUUAAGAAAUGUGACCUUCAUCGCCUAGAAGAAGGCCCCAGUACCACCACAGUGAUGACUCGAGAGGAGGGGCUCCAGUACUACAAGACAAUGCAGUCCAUCCGACGCAUGGAGCUGAAGGCUGACCAGCUGUACAAGCAGAAGAUUAUUCGUGGCUUCUGCCACUUGUAUGAUGGCCAGGAGGCUUGCUGCGUAGGGAUUGAAGCUGCCAUAAAGCCUACAGACCAUGUGAUAACAGCUUACAGGGUUCAUGGCUUUACCUAUACACGAGGAGUGCCUAUUCGAGAAAUUCUCACUGAACUUACAGGGCGAAAAGGAGGAUGUGCAAAGGGAAAAGGAGGAUCAAUGCACAUGUAUACCAAAAACUUCUAUGGUGGAAAUGGAAUUGUUGGUGCUCAGGUUCCUCUUGGAGCUGGGAUUGCGCUGGCCUGUAAAUACUUUGGUAAAAACGAAAUCUGCAUGGCCUUAUAUGGGGAUGGUGCAGCCAAUCAGGGCCAGAUAUUUGAAACAUUCAACAUGGCUGCCUUGUGGAAGUUGCCUUGUAUUUUUGUCUGUGAGAAUAACCGCUAUGGAAUGGGAACUUCAGUUGAAAGAGCGGCAGCCAGUACCGACUACUAUAGAAGAGGAGACUUCAUUCCAGGUCUCAGGGUGGAUGGCAUGGAUGUUCUCUGUGUUCGAGAAGCAACGAAGUUUGCUGCUGAACACUGCAGAUCUGGCAAAGGUCCUAUUGUGAUGGAGUUACAGACCUACCGUUACCAUGGCCAUAGCAUGAGUGACCCUGGAAUAAGCUAUCGCACUAGGGAAGAAAUUCAAGAAGUGAGAAGCAAAAGUGAUCCCAUUACUUUGCUGAAGGACAGAAUGGUCAACAAUAACCUGGCUAGCAUUGAAGAAUUAAAGGAUAUUGAUGUGGCAGUAAGGAAGGAGAUUGAGGAAGCAGCUCAGUUCGCUACCACUGACCCAGAGCCACCACUGGAAGAACUCUGUCACCACAUCUACUUCAAUGAGCCACCCUUUGAAGUGCGGGGCCCAAACCAGUGGAUAAGCUACAAGUCUACCAGCUAAAGGACUUUAUACUGUCAUAAUUUAUUCAUAAGAAUAAGUGAAUAUAUUUACAGGAACUUAAAUGACUCAGAAACAACCCGUAAGGUUAUUUAAAAGUUCUUUCAAAUGAGGAAGUGUGUGGGGAAAGCCAUCUCAGUUUGGAUUUGGGUAAACAUGCUGAAAGUUGUUUCAGAAGGAGUUAAAGCAGCAGCUUACUGAAAUUGCUUUGUAUUUGCUUUAUCGACUUGUCUUUGGAUUGUUAUGUACAGUUAAAAAAAAAAUAAGCUUCAACACCACUUACCUAGUAGUGUGUUUGCUUUGUUUCUUAAUGAACCAUUUUCUUCCCAAAACCACCAGAAAUGCCCUUUAGAUGCUGUGGGUUUGCUGCAGGUACGUUACUAAAGGAAGACAUUGCACC